UAGCAUGAGAAACGGCUACCACAUCUAAGGAAGGCAGCAGGCGCGUAAAUUACCCAAUCCUGACUCAGGGAGGUAGUGACAAGAAAUAGCAAACCGGGAACCUCAUGGUUUCACGGUAUUGCAAUGAGAACAAUUUAAAACCCUUAGCGAGAAUCAAGUGGAGGACAAGUCUGGUGCCAGCACCCGCGGUAAUUCCAGCUCCACUAGCGUAUAUUAAAGUUGUUGCAGUUAAAAAGCUCGUAGUUGAACCUCUGUCUGGGGCUAGUUUUGGCUUUGGUCAGGCUAGUUCUAGGCAUCCGCCUACAAGACUUAGAGGGCAUUCAGUUGUUCACUAGGAGGAGUAGGCAUUUUACUUUGAAAAAAUUAGAGUGUUUAAGGCAGGCAAUCGCCCGCAUAUAUUAGCAUGGAAUAAUAGAAUAGGACACUUUUCCAUUUCGUUGGUUAUUGGAAUCGUGUAAUGAUUAAUAGGGACAGUUGUGGGCAUUUGUAUUUAAUUGUCAGAGGUGAAAUUCUUGGAUUUAUUAAAGACAAACUAACGCGAAAGCAUUUGCCAAGGAUGUUUUCAUUAAUCAAGAACGAAAGUUAGGGGAUCAAAGACGAUCAGAUACCGUCCUAGUCUUAACCAUAAACUAUUCCGACUCAAUGUUUGACUGGCUUAUAUAACCAGUUGAGCGUUGUAUGAGAAAUCAAAGUCUUUAGGUUCUGGGGGGAGUAUGGUUGCAAAGCUGAAACUUAAAGGAAUUGACGGAAGAGCACAACCAGGAGUGGAUUCUGCGGCUUAAUUUGACUCAACACGGGGAAACUUACCAGGUUAAAACAAUAGUGGGAUUGACAGUUUGAGAGCGCUUUCUUGAUUGGUUGGGUGGUGGUGCAUGGCCGUUCUUAGUUGGUGGAGUGAUUUGUCUGCUUAAUUGCGUUAACGAACGAGACCUUAACCUGCUUACUAGACUGGCGAUCAUCAAUCGUUAGCUCUUCUUAGAGGGACUUUGGUUGUUUUAACUCCAAGGAAGUUUGAGGCAAUAACAGGUCUGUGAUGCCUUUAGAUAUCCUGGCCGCACGCGUCAUACAAUGACUAGUUCAGAAAGUUUUCUCCUGACCCGAAAGGGGAUGGGUAAUCUUGAUAAUACUAGUCGUGUUAGGGAUCGAUCUUUGCAAUUAUAGAUCUUGAACGAGGAAUUCCUAGUAAGUGCGGUUCAUCAGACCGUACUGAUUACGUCCCUGCUCUUUGUACACACCGCCCGUCGCUUCUACCGAGUGGGUGGUCCGGUGAGAUAAUUGAACUUCGCAGGUAACUGAGAGGAAAGAUUAUCAAACCUAUCCACCUCGAGGAAGAAGAAGUCGUAACAAGGUU
RNAcentral lists this ribosomal RNA (1351 nucleotides) under metagenome. RNAcentral's name for it is "SSU rRNA". It matches the Rfam family "Eukaryotic small subunit ribosomal RNA", at positions 392 to 1801 of the family's 1831-position model. The record is from RNAcentral.